CACUUCUCUAAACAAGCACUGGCCUCCAGAUAAACAGUAUUAAAACAAUUACAACUCAUCCAGCUCACAGAUGCUGAUUCACUGAACCCCUGUUCCACCGACCAGAAACAGCUUUGACUGGACAAGAGGCUGAAUUCAGUAACUUUCUCCUGAUGAGAAGACCACCAGCCAUGGACUGGUUCUUGCUGGUUUACAGAGACUGCACACCUGUGUACCUUCAUGUCCUGAAAAGAUCUUUUGACAUAGGGGCUAGAAAAAUGCCUGUUGCUUCAAG
Molecule: long non-coding RNA, 274 nt
Filed under: Homo sapiens (human)
Lineage: Eukaryota; Metazoa; Chordata; Mammalia; Primates; Hominidae
Description: non-protein coding lnc-TMCC1-12:4
Source: RNAcentral